UUUGAAACAGACAAUGAGAUGCAGAAGGGCACUGGGCUCCUGUCUUUCCAGGGCAAGGACAAGUCGGGCUCAGCUGUGUGCAACUUGUUCACUAAAGGGCUCUGUGAGAAACGGAAACUGCCCCUUCUGGCAUGACCAAGGGAAGAUGAUGGUGGUGUGUAAGCACCGGCUCUGGGGGCUGUGCAAGAAGGGCGACCACUGCAAGUUCCUGCACCGGUUGACCUCCUGCGAUGCCCGAAUGCUACUUCUACUCCACGUGUAAAUAUCGCCAUGUCCCCAGAAUAAUGUGUCUCAACUAUUUCGUGGCUUCUGCCCUGAGGGACCCAAGUGCCAAUU
This 336-nucleotide long non-coding RNA is filed under the name Homo sapiens (human). RNAcentral describes it as "non-protein coding lnc-TRIML1-8:1". The record is from RNAcentral. Lineage: Eukaryota; Metazoa; Chordata; Mammalia; Primates; Hominidae.